GUCCAGGGAUGGGAAUCGAACCCACAAUGUUCUGUUUCCGGGCAGAUGCCAUGUCCACUAGGCUACCCUGGA
This 72-nucleotide transfer RNA is filed under the name Cordylochernes scorpioides. Its description in RNAcentral is "tRNA-OTHER". Lineage: Eukaryota; Metazoa; Arthropoda; Arachnida; Pseudoscorpiones; Chernetidae. The record is from RNAcentral.